Vicugna pacos (alpaca) is the source of this 500-nucleotide non-coding RNA. The record is from RefSeq and is a predicted model, not a curated record. Lineage: Eukaryota; Metazoa; Chordata; Mammalia; Artiodactyla; Camelidae.
ACCUUCUCCUGCGGUUUCCGCUCCUUCCGCUCCUGCACGGUGGUCAGGUAGUUGACGGCUGCGUACUCCAGCACCGAGAGGAACACGAACACGAAGCUGACCCAGAGGUAGAUGUCCACCGCCUUGAUGUAGGAGACGCGGGGCAUGGAGGCGUUCACGCCGGUGAUGAUGGUGGACAUGGUCAGCACCGUGGUGAUCCCUGCAGGCAGAAAUCUUUUAGUCCUGGUCGUGUAUGAUGGACAGUCAGGGCACAUCCUGCAGCCACUCCAACCCUGGACCUGCCUGUCCACUCAGCACUGUCCACUUGAGGACAAACAGGUGGGCACAGAAAGCACCACAGACCAGGACCACCCACGCUAGAACUCAGCUCUAACAAGACCAAAGGUGAACUGUUUGCGUGGGCAUCUGUGGGAACCUGGAAACGACUUUGCUACAUAGAUUCUUUUUAAAAAAUUGAAUUAUAGUCAAUUGACAAUGUUGUGUUAAUUCCUGGUAUACAG